CGAGGUGCUGCCGCCGCUGCCCGACCUGCGCCUUCGCGCCACUUCGCGCCCUCGGGCGAGGCCGAGGGGGUGGGGACGACCCCCGCCGCGCCGCCGUGGCUUGCGCCCCCUCGCGAAGCCCCCUCCGCGGGGCGGACCGGCCGGCUGGCCGCACCCCCGGCCUGGGGCCUCCGGUCGUAGUAAAGCGGAGGCGGGUGGGGAGGCGGGAGCGAGAGCCCGCGGCGGGCGAGGCGAAGAUGGUGGCGGCUACUCCUCCUGUCAUACACGUGGACCUAACUGCACCAAAAGCUUUUCUAAGGAUAUUUGCUGAGAAGGAAGUUUUCCCCAGUGGUUUACCAAGUAAUUGCUAA
Molecule: long non-coding RNA, 350 nt
Filed under: Capra hircus (goat)
Lineage: Eukaryota; Metazoa; Chordata; Mammalia; Artiodactyla; Bovidae
Description: lncRNA (ENSCHIG00000005803.1)
Source: RNAcentral